UCAAGCGAAUAAGUGCAUCUGGUGGAUGCCUUGGCGAUCACAGGCGAUGAAGGACGCGGUAGCCUGCGAAAAGCGACGGGGAGCUGGCAAACAAGCUUUGAUCCGUCGAUGUCCGAAUGGGGAAACCCACCUCUUUUGAGGUAUCCAUGACUGAAUACAUAGGUCAUGUGAAGCGAACCGGGAGAACUGAAACAUCUAAGUACCCCGAGGAAAAGAAAUCAACCGAGAUUCCGGAAGUAGUGGCGAGCGAAACCGGAGUAGCCUGCAUGUGAUAGCAGAGAUCUUAGUGGAACGGCAUGGAAAGGCCGGCGACAGUGGGUGAUAGCCCCGUACACGAAAGGGACUCUGUGGUACUGAGCAUGCGACAAGUAAGGCGGGACACGAGAAAUCCUGUCCGAAGACGGGGGGACCAUCCUCCAAGGCUAAAUACUCGUGAUCGACCGAUAGUGAACCAGUACCGUGAGGGAAAGGCGAAAAGAACCCCGGGAGGGGAGUGAAAUAGAACCUGAAACCGGAUGCAUACAAACAGUGGGAGCCUCUGAAAAUGGGGUGACUGCGUACCUUUUGUAUAAUGGGUCAGCGACUUACGUUCAGUAGCAAGCUUAACCGCAUAGGGGAGGCGCAGGGAAACCGAGUCCGAACAGGGCGCACAGUUGCUGGGCGUAGACCCGAAACCAGGUGAUCUAUCCAUGGCCAGGAUGAAGGUGCGGUAACACGCACUGGAGGUCCGAACCCACUAGUGUUGCAAAACUAGGGGAUGAGCUGUGGAUAGGGGUGAAAGGCUAAACAAACCUGGAAAUAGCUGGUUCUCCCCGAAAACUAUUUAGGUAGUGCCUCAGGUAUUACUGACGGGGGUAAAGCACUGUUAUGGCUAGGGGGUCAUCGCGACUUACCAAACCAUGGCAAACUCUGAAUACCGUCAAGUAUCAGCCUGGGAGACAGACAUCGGGUGCUAACGUCCGGUGUCAAGAGGGAAACAACCCAGACCGCCGUCUAAGGUCCCAAAUGACAUGUUAAGUGGAAAACGAGGUGGGAAGGCACAGACAGCCAGGAUGUUGGCUUAGAAGCAGCCAUCAUUUAAAGAAAGCGUAAUAGCUCACUGGUCGAGUCGUCCUGCGCGGAAGAUGUAACGGGGCUCAAACAUGUAACCGAAGACGCGGAUGUGCAAUUUAUUGCACGUGGUAGGGGAGCGUUCCGUAGGCCUGUGAAGGUGCAUUGUAAAGUGUGCUGGAGGUAUCGGAAGUGCGAAUGCUGACAUGAGUAGCGUUAAAACGGGUGAAAAGCCCGUUCGCCGUAAGCCCAAGGUUUCCUGCGCAACGUUCAUCGGCGCAGGGUGAGUCGGCCCCUAAGGCGAGGCUGAAAAGCGUAGUCGAUGGGAAACAGGUUAAUAUUCCUGUACUUUGUAUUGGUGCGAUGUGGGGACGGAGAAGGGUAGGUCAGCCAUCUGUUGGAAUAGGUGGUUCAAGCGUGUAGGUGGGUGGCUCAGGCAAAUCCGGGCUGCUGUUAACACCGAGGCGUGAUAACGAGGUCUCAUUGAGACUGAAGUGAUUGAUCCCAUGCUUCCAGGAAAAGCCACUAAGCUUCAGCCAGUACGAAACCGUACCGCAAACCGACACUGGUGGGCAGGAUGAGAAUUCCAAGGCGCUUGAGAGAACUCAGGAGAAGGAACUCGGCAAAUUGACACCGUAACUUCGGGAGAAGGUGUGCCACUGUAGGGUGAAGCGACUUGCUCGUGGAGCCUGAAGUGGUUGCAGUGAAAAGGUGGCUGCGACUGUUUAUCAAAAACACAGCUCUCUGCAAAGACGAAAGUCGACGUAUAGGGAGUGACGCCUGCCCGGUGCUGGAAGGUUAAGUGAUGGGGUGCAAGCUCUUGAUCGAAGCCCCAGUAAACGGCGGCCGUAACUAUAACGGUCCUAAGGUAGCGAAAUUCCUUGUCGGGUAAGUUCCGACCCGCACGAAUGGCGUAACGAUGGCCACACUGUCUCCUCCUGAGACUCAGCGAAGUUGAAGUGUUUGUGAAGAUGCAAUCUCCCCGCUGCUAGACGGAAAGACCCCGUGAACCUUUACUGUAGCUUUGCAUUGGACUUUGAAGUGGUUUGUGUAGGAUAGGUGGGAGGCUUUGAAGUGGUGACGCCAGUCAUCAUGGAGCCGUCCUUGAAAUACCACCCUGACCCCUUUGAGGUUCUAACCUUGGUCCGUGAUCCGGAUCGGGGACCGUGCAUGGUAGGCAGUUUGACUGGGGCGGUCUCCUCCCAAAGUGUAACGGAGGAGCUCGAAGGUCACCUAGGUACGGUCGGACAUCGUACUGAUAGUGUAAUGGCACAAGGUGGCUUGACUGCGAGACUGACAAGUCGAGCAGGUGCGAAAGCAGGACAUAGUGAUCCGGUGGUUCUGAAUGGAAGGGCCAUCGCUCAACGGAUAAAAGGUACUCCGGGGAUAACAGGCUGAUUCCGCCCAAGAGUUCACAUCGACGGCGGAGUUUGGCACCUCGAUGUCGGCUCAUCACAUCCUGGGGCUGUAGCCGGUCCCAAGGGUAUGGCUGUUCGCCAUUUAAAGUGGUACGUGAGCUGGGUUCAAAACGUCGUGAGACAGUUUGGUCCCUAUCUGCAGUGGGCGCUGGAAAUUUGAGGGGGGCUGCUCCUAGUACGAGAGGACCGGAGUGGACGCAUCUCUGGUGUACCGGUUAUCACGCCAGUGGUAUCGCCGGGUAGCUAAAUGCGGAAGAGAUAAGCGCUGAAAGCAUCUAAGCGCGAAACUCGCCCCAAGAUGAGAUUUCCCUGGGAACUUGAUUCCCCUGAAGGGUCGUUGAAGACCACAACGUUGAUAGGCCAGGUGUGGAAGCGCAGUAAUGCGUUAAGCUGACUGGUACUAAUUGCCCGUGAGGCUUGAUCC
Molecule: ribosomal RNA, 2892 nt
Filed under: Silvimonas iriomotensis
Lineage: Bacteria; Pseudomonadati; Pseudomonadota; Betaproteobacteria; Neisseriales; Chitinibacteraceae
Description: 23S ribosomal RNA
Rfam family: Bacterial large subunit ribosomal RNA
Source: RNAcentral